CUGCGAAUGGCUCAUUAAAUCAGUUAUCGUAUAUUUGAUAGUACCUACUACAUGGAUAACCGUGGUAAUUCUAGAGCUAAUACAUGCUUAAAAUCCCGACUUCGGAAGGGAUGUAUUUAUUAGAUUAAAAACCAAUGCCCUUCGGGGCUCACUGGUGAUUCAUAAUAACUUCUCGAAUCGCAUGGCCUUGUGCCGGCGAUGGUUCAUUCAAAUUUCUGCCCUAUCAACUUUCGACGGCUGGGUAUUGGCCAGCCGUGGUUACAACGGGUAACGGAGGGUUAGGGCUUGACCCCGGAGAAGGAGCCUGAGAAACGGCUACUACAUCCAAGGAAGGCAGCAGGCGCGCAAAUUACCCAAUCCCGAUACGGGGAGGUAGUGACAAUAAAUACUGAUACAGGGCUCUUUUGGGUCUUGUAAUUGGAAUGAGUACAAUUUAAAUCCCUUAACGAGGAACAAUUGGAGGGCAAGUCUGGUGCCAGCAGCCGCGGUAAUUCCAGCUCCAAUAGCGUAUAUUAAAGUUGUUGCAGUUAAAAAGCUCGUAGUUGAACCUUGGGCCUGGUUGGUUGGUCUGCCUCACCGCAUGCACUGAUCCGACCGGGCCUUUCCCUCUGGGGAUCCGCAUGCUAUUCAUUUAGUGUGUCGGGGAACCAGGACUUUUACUGUGAAAAAAUUAGAGUGUUCAAAGCAGGCCUAUGCUCGAAUACAUUAGCAUGGAAUAAUAGAAUAGGACGUGUGGUUCUAUUUUGUUGGUUUCUAGGACCGCCGUAAUGAUUAAUAGGGACAGUCGGGGGCAUCAGUAUUCAAUCGUCAGAGGUGAAAUUCUUGGAUCGAUUGAAGACUAACUACUGCGAAAGCAUUUGCCAAGGAUGUUUUCAUUAAUCAGGAACGAAAGUUAGGGGAUCGAAAACGAUCAGAUACCGUUGUAGUCUUAACCAUAAACUAUGCCGACUAGGGAUCGGACGAUGUUAUUUUUUGACUCGUUCGGCACCUUACACGAAAGUAAA
RNAcentral lists this ribosomal RNA (1004 nucleotides) under Ophiognomonia leptostyla. RNAcentral describes it as "SSU rRNA". It matches the Rfam family "Eukaryotic small subunit ribosomal RNA", at positions 87 to 1102 of the family's 1831-position model. Lineage: Eukaryota; Fungi; Ascomycota; Sordariomycetes; Diaporthales; Gnomoniaceae. The record is from RNAcentral.